Molecule: ribosomal RNA, 253 nt
Filed under: uncultured prokaryote
Description: partial 16S ribosomal RNA
Rfam family: Bacterial small subunit ribosomal RNA
Source: RNAcentral
ACGAAGGGGGCUAGCGUUGUUCGGAUUUACUGGGCGUAAAGCGCGUGUAGGCGGGUCGUUAAGUCAGGGGUGAAAUCCUGGAGCUCAACUCCAGAACUGCCUUUGAUACUGAAGAUCUUGAGUUCGGGAGAGGUGAGUGGAACUGCGAGUGUAGGGGUGAAAUUCGUAGAUAUUCGCAAGAACACCAGUGGCGAAGGCGGCUCACUGGCCCGAUACUGACGCUGAGGCACGAAAGCGUGGGGAGCAAACAGGA